RNAcentral lists this ribosomal RNA (440 nucleotides) under uncultured bacterium. Its description in RNAcentral is "partial 16S ribosomal RNA". It matches the Rfam family "Bacterial small subunit ribosomal RNA", at positions 338 to 795 of the family's 1533-position model. The record is from RNAcentral.
CCUACGGGGGGCUGCAGUGGGGGAUAUUGCACAAUGGGGGGAACCCUGAUGCAGCGACGCCGCGUGGGUGAAGAAGCGCCUCGGCGCGUAAAGCCCUGUCAGCAGGGAAGAAAAUGACGGUACCUGAAGAAACAGCCCCGGCUAACUACGUGCCAGCAGCCGCGGUAAUACGUAGUGGGCAAGCGUUAUCCGGAUUUACGGGGUGAAAAGGGGGCGCAGACGGUGAUGCAAGCCAGGAGUGCAAGCCCGGGGCCCAACCUCGGGACUGCUCUUGGAACUGGGUGGCUGGAGUGCAGGAGGGGCGGGCGGAAUUCCAGGUGUAGCGGUGAAAUGCGUAGAUAUAAGGAGGAACACCGGUGGCGAAGGCGGCCUGCUGGACUGCAACUGACGUUGAGGCCCGAAAGCGUGGGGAGCAAACAGGAUUAGAUACCCUUGUAGUC